RNAcentral lists this unclassified non-coding RNA (233 nucleotides) under Chytridiomycota sp. Its description in RNAcentral is "partial contains small subunit ribosomal RNA, internal transcribed spacer 1, and 5.8S ribosomal RNA". The stretch from base 1 to 47 matches the Rfam family "Eukaryotic small subunit ribosomal RNA", at positions 1785 to 1831 of the family's 1831-position model. Lineage: Eukaryota; Fungi; Chytridiomycota. The record is from RNAcentral.
AAAGUCGUAACAAGGUAACCGUAGGUGAACCUGCGGUUGGAUCAUUAUGAAUGUGAUGGAUUGUGUCUUGUUCCCUCUCGGGGUAGAGCUCGACAUGAUUCACAAACCACUUGUGCAACUAUAAUCGUAUUUUGGGGGUACCCUUGGGUAUUCCCAGCAUGUAAACCUGUGAACCUUUGACUAAAUUGUGCCAGAAAUCAUAACAACUUUUGACAACGGAUCUCUUGGCUCUC